GACGAACGCUGGCGGCGUGCUUAACACAUGCAAGUCGAACGGAAAGGCCCUGCUUUUGUGGGGUGCUCGAGUGGCGAACGGGUGAGUAACACGUGAGUAACCUGCCCUUGACUUUGGGAUAACUCCAGGAAACUGGGGCUAAUACCGGAUAGGAGCUCCUGCUGCAUGGUGGGGGUUGGAAAGUUUCGGCGGUUGGGGAUGGACUCGCGGCUUAUCAGCUUGUUGGUGGGGUAGUGGCUUACCAAGGCUUUGACGGGUAGCCGGCCUGAGAGGGUGACCGGCCAUAUUGGGACUGAGAUACGGCCCAGACUCCUACGGGAGGCAGCAGUGGGGAAUAUUGCACAAUGGGCGGAAGCCUGAUGCAGCAACGCCGCGUGCGGGAUGACGGCCUUCGGGUUGUAAACCGCUUUCGCCUGUGACGAAGCGUGAGUGACGGUAAUGGGUAAAGAAGCACCGGCUAACUACGUG
RNAcentral lists this ribosomal RNA (468 nucleotides) under uncultured bacterium. Its description in RNAcentral is "partial 16S ribosomal RNA". It matches the Rfam family "Bacterial small subunit ribosomal RNA", at positions 28 to 507 of the family's 1533-position model. The record is from RNAcentral.